Non-coding RNA from Camelina sativa (false flax), 1017 nucleotides. The record is from RefSeq and is a predicted model, not a curated record. Lineage: Eukaryota; Viridiplantae; Streptophyta; Magnoliopsida; Brassicales; Brassicaceae.
UGCUGAAAGAUUGAUUAAACUUUUUUUGUUUGCAGCUGGCUCUAACGACACACCAAUAGAGUUUGUAUGGGAGCAGACAUUUGAUGUUAAAACAGGAGAGGGCAUGCCUGAUCUUUGAGAGUGUAAGACCAUGUGUAUCAGUGUUGUUUUAAACCGUCCCCGUUUUUUUCGAUUUAAAAUAAAUAAAUAAAAUCCCAAUUCAGAAGAAACGUAUCUUUAUUUGGGACGUUUUUUCUCCGUUCACUUGGACGCGUGCUACGUUUUGAUUGGAUGAAGAUUCAGAGGAUGGGUUCCAUCAAAGAAGAGCAAAGACCUCUCAUCGAAGAAGGUUUAAUUUCACAGGGGAUGUCGGCGCUUCAUUUCGGAAAUCGUCUGUCAAAGUCCCAGAAAACCCCACGCUUCUGUAUGAAACACAAGACAAGAACUCUGCUAUUGCUGGAAAUAGAAAAAUUGAGCAUACCAAUGAUAGCAAGUAUCUUGACAAAGCCGUUGUUAUCUCAGAAUAAGAGUCUAUCGAGUUUUGUAUUUGCUAAUGUUCUUGCCUUUAGUUUACACUUACGUCUCUGUGUGUCAUGAUCUUCUCAAUUUGGCAACCAAAUAUGUUGUUUUUCCUUGACGUACUUGUUUGCACCCAGUCAGGCUUCAGUCUGUAACCUGUUGGAAUCCUGCGACCAAACUGGCUAGAUGGAGCCAAGUAUCUAGGCCAAAAAAAUGUGAGCGGGUUUCUCUGCAAUGUAUGGGAGAAAGUAGACUUUAUAUGGUACUAUGAGGAUGUUGCAACCAAGAGACCUGUGCAAUGGAUCUUCUAUACAGGUAUUGGACCUAACGGUUCUGUUUAACCAACUAUGGCAUAUACGAAGUAUCUUCGUUAUCCUUGCCAACUAAAGAUCUCCGUACUUUAUGCUUAAGUUGUGGUAACUAGUUAGAUACGAUGCUAGAUAUCAGGCCUUCGUUAAGCUUUCUCUCUAUAUAUGUAAUCACGAAACCUCUUUAUGAAUAUACAGAAAUCCUUCGACA